RNAcentral lists this transfer RNA (76 nucleotides) under Acetivibrio sp. MSJd-27. RNAcentral's name for it is "tRNA-Arg". It matches the Rfam family "tRNA". Rfam says of the family: Transfer RNA (tRNA) molecules are approximately 80 nucleotides in length. The record is from RNAcentral. Lineage: Bacteria; Bacillati; Bacillota; Clostridia; Acetivibrionales; Acetivibrionaceae.
GCGCCCUUAGCUCAGCGGAUAGAGUGAACGGCUACGAACCGUUAGGCCGGGGGUUCGAAUCCCUUAGGGCGCGCCA